GACGAACGCUGGCGGCGUGCUUAACACAUGCAAGUCGAACGGAAAGGCCCUGCUUUUGUGGGGUGCUCGAGUGGCGAACGGGUGAGUAACACGUGAGUAACCUGCCCUUGACUUUGGGAUAACUUCAGGAAACUGGGGCUAAUACCGGAUAGGAGCUCCUGCUGCAUGGUGGGGGUUGGAAAGUUUCGGCGGUUGGGGAUGGACUCGCGGCUUAUCAGCUUGUUGGUGGGGUAGUGGCUUACCAAGGCUUUGACGGGUAGCCGGCCUGAGAGGGUGACCGGCCACAUUGGGACUGAGAUACGGCCCAGACUCCUACGGAAGGCAGCAGUGGGGAAUAUUGCACAAUGGGCGGAAGCCUGAUGCAGCAACGCCGCGUGCGGGAUGACGGCCUUCGGGUUGUAAACCGCUUUCGCCUGUGACGAAGCGUGAGUGACGGUAACGGGUAAAGAAGCACCGGCUAACUACGUG
Molecule: ribosomal RNA, 468 nt
Filed under: uncultured bacterium
Lineage: Bacteria
Description: partial 16S ribosomal RNA
Rfam family: Bacterial small subunit ribosomal RNA
Source: RNAcentral